Molecule: ribosomal RNA, 253 nt
Filed under: uncultured bacterium
Lineage: Bacteria
Description: partial 16S ribosomal RNA
Rfam family: Bacterial small subunit ribosomal RNA
Source: RNAcentral
UACAGAGGUCCCAAGCGUUGUUCGGAUUCACUGGGCGUAAAGGGUGCGUAGGCGGUCGGGUAAGUCUGAUGUGAAAUCUCCAAGCUUAACUUGGAAAUGGCAUCGGAUACUAUUCGGCUCGAGGAAUGGAGGGGAGACUGGAAUACUUGGUGUAGCAGUGAAAUGCGUAGAUAUCAAGUGGAACACCAGUGGCGAAGGCGAGUCCCUGGAUAACACCUGACACUGAGGCACGAAAGCUAGGGGAGCAAACAGG